UGGUGGAGCGCUUCAUCAA
This 19-nucleotide unclassified non-coding RNA is filed under the name Mus musculus (house mouse). Its description in RNAcentral is "oocyte_clustered_small_RNA3333". Lineage: Eukaryota; Metazoa; Chordata; Mammalia; Rodentia; Muridae. The record is from RNAcentral.